AUCCUACUAUUGUUCUCUAGUGUUUAGAUUUCAAAAGGCGUCUCCUUGUUGAAUACAGAAAGAUACCACAUGUUCUGAAAUAGAGUAAAUCAAAGUGAAAUGAGGGUGGUUUGUUUAUUGAUGAGCCCCUCAUUUAGAGUGAGUUUCGUUACCUGCUAAGCAAGAUUUAUGUUUUCCAUAGAGGACUCAAAUAUGAAACAUCCCAAUUUCUACCAAAUUAUUAUAUUAUGAGGAUACGAAAAGAAUUUGUGCUCAGAUAACUAAAGAUGACAUAAUCAAAGAACCUGGAAAUUUUCCACAAGUGAAAGGUCUUUCAUAAUCAAUAAGGACUUUGAGACUUUUUUGUGUUCCCUUCUGAUGUCUGGGAUGGAGAAACAUAGUUUAGGGAAGUUUGUGUGUGUGUGUGUUUUUAACUUUAUUUUGCAUAUAUACACUUGAAAGACUAGAGUUAUUCAUUACUUGUUGGCAUAUUAAAGCAUAUCAACUGUACUAUAGAAUUACUCCUUAGAAAUUAAAAGAGGGAAUCAAAAUUAAUUGUCCAGUUUGGGAGGUAAACUUCUUUAUAAUCAAUCCUAAAAGUUUUAUCAACAGGAAUGCUUUCCUGCUGCUCAUUUAAUUUAUACUUUUGUCUUACUAUAUCAAGAUAUGGGGGCAGCUGAGUGACAUAUAAUUAAAAUCUAUAAUGAAAUAACAGUUUAAAAAAAUAACAGUUUAGUGAUUUAUGAUAUUCAAUCAGAAAGGAGAGAAAAAACCCACAGAAAAAACACUAUCAUUAUUCUCUCUCUUUUUUUUUUUCCUAUUGCAGGACAAAUCAGGUCAUUUUGUGAAACCCAAGCUCUGUUUUGUUCUUGACUUUGAAAAUUUGUGCCAAUGGCCAUGUCUGAAUUAACUGACAUGUAAAAUUUAUUAUUUGCCUGCUCUUAAUUUUUUCUUCACUUGUUAAUCAUUUAUUUUAAAGUAAAACAUAGAUACAGAACUGAAUAAAACAAACAUAUAACUUAAUAAGUUAAUAAAAAUCCGUACCCUUGUAACCACCACUAAGAUCAAGAAAAAGAAUUUGUCCAGCACCCCCCACCACUCCAACCUGAGUCUUAUAUAUAACAUACCAUCACAUCAUAAAUCCCUGGCAUUCUUCAAAAGUAACCAUUUAUCUGACUUUAUAAUAUCACUUGCUUGUUUUUCUUGAUCACACAGAGAUGUCUUCCUAAAUGCUAUGGUUUAGAUUUGUCUGGGGAUGAUUUUUGAGUCUCUUAAAUCCAGUUUCCCCCUGCAUCCUUUUAUUGCCCUUGCAAUUUAUUUGUUGAAAAAGUGGAUCAUUUAGUUCUUUCUAAAUCAGUGGUUUUGACCUUAAAAAGGCAAAGUAUCCCAAUAACCAGCAUAGAGACUUUCUAGGAGGUGCUUUGUAAUUAAUCAGUUAGUCUCUGUUGUUUCCUCUACCUCACACCCCCUGCAUUUCAGUUUUGCUUGGAUGGCCAAGCACAUUCGAACCCAAAAGUUGCCAUGGUGACACCCUGACCGAUGAUGGGAUUCUGAAUUGAUGGGGGGAAAAGCAGGUGUUGCUGCCUCCCAACUGUGACUGGGGAGGAGUGGUGAGUAAAGAAGGCUUUCCCUCUGCAUUUACUCACAGUGUAGCCCAUUUGAAAUACAAAUAGUCUCAAGAGGCUAUCAUUCGAAAAGCUGGAUGAAAUGCACAAGGUGGGAGAGGGCCGAUCUAAUUAGACCUAUGGGAGUCUCUAGAUGGGUUAGGCUCCAUGUUUUAGGAGAGAACUGUGAGCAGGAAGCUCUAUUUGGGCACCUUUUCUGUGCCAAGCUAUUGUACAGGUUUUAACUCUUUUCUAUGACCGUAAGACUUAAGAAUUAAUACCCUAGUUUUGCAGAUGAGGAAUCUGAAAUCCUUAUCAGGAAACAAUCUUCUCAAUGAUAAUCCUUGUUUCCAUGUACAAACUUUUAAAAAACUUUAAUCAGAUGAAACCACUCCAGUAUCUUUUGCACUUAGAAUGAAACCCACAUUCCUUCAUGUGAGACCUGGGCAACUGGACUAGGUCUGACCCCUGCAUAUUUCAUGGCUCUCAACUGCCCCUACAGCUCCCACCUCUGCCCCCAACACUGUGCCCCCGCCACACUGGCCUUUUGCUACACCUUGGAUACAACAGGCUCACACAGCAAGAUUAAGAAAACUCUAGCUUGGUAGGUUUUAUGUUUCAUAUCUUCACUCCGAAGGACAGUGAGCACACACAUAUUCAACAUUGGACUGGAGGCUUUACAUUUGCUUUUUUCUCUUUCUGAAACAUUUCACUGCCACAUUUGCUUAGCCAGAUCUUACAUCUCUUUCAAGACUCAACUUAAUUGUCACUUCCUCAGAGAACUUCCCUGCCCACUCAAUCUACAUUAGCCUUUCCCUGUAAUUAUUUCCUCCACUUACUCUUUUUUCCUCUCUGGCACUUAUCAACACUCUAAUUAUACAUGUAUUUGUUUAACAUCUAUUUCUUCUACGUGACCCCAAAUUACCUUGAGGGUGGGGUAUGUCUCUUUUGUUUACUAUGGUGUCCCCAUGUCUAGAUAGUUCAGGCCCCUGGCACACCAUAGAGUCUCAAUAAAUAUUGAUUGGCAUGUAAAACUGAAAUGAGUGUUAGAGAGGUUAAGUAACUUGUCCAAAGUCACAUAGCUAGUCUGUAUCUGGGCUAGAGAUUUGAAAAACCCUUGUAUUUCUCACUGUAAUUGGUUUUUGCAAACUGUUCCUUUAACACUAGUGUCCUGAUAAGCCUUAAUAGAUGUUUCAAGAAGACAAGAAAGAUCUAUGACCAAAUAUAUAGUGGAUAUCAUUUUGUUUGUUUGUUUGUUUUAUUUGAAUAUAUUUCUUUCCUGGGGGACAUCCAAGAAACUUUAGUAUUCAGAUAGACAUUGUGACUCUCCAAGAAACUGAUAAGGUAUUCAACACUUCUCACUAGAGUUCAGCCAUGAUUUAUUUCCUUCAGUGAAAAUAAUAUCUGGUGGGACACCAGGAUUCAGCAAAAGCCAGGAUGGGAAUCACUCUAUUAUGCACUAUUCCUCCCUAAGAAAUGGGUAAAUAGAACUUUCUAUUGUAAAUGGAGUCUAAAUAUUCCAGUAUUUUAAAAAAAAAGAUUUUAUUUAUUUGAGAGAGACAGAGACAGAGACAGAGACAGAGAGACAGCACAUGUGUUAGAGAGAGACGAAGUUGGAGAGAAGGAGGGAAAAGUAGACUCCUGCUGAGUGUGGAGCUCAAUGCAGCUGGACCUCUGGCUUGAUCCCAGGACUCUGGGAUCAUGACCAGAGUUAAACAUUCAACCAGAUGAGCCACUGGGGGAUCCCCUCCAGUAUUUUUUUAAGUUUUUGCUUCCUGCCUUCUUCUUCCACUAUAAGUAUUGGGGAGAUUGAUCUUAAGGAAACAAGAUUAGAAAGUAGAAAUUAAAGAAAGUGAAGUGAUUCGUGAUUUGGAUUAUUGCAGAGGAGAUAUAAAAUGAUCUAUUUUAAGAAAUAACUGAUUAGAAAAUAAAAACUAAAUAAAUUGUCUGAUAACUUAAAAAUGGUAAGCAUUUUUUUUUUCCCCACCUCAGCAUGCUAUUAAAAAUGACUGAGAUGAUCUUAAAUGCUGACUUCCCUUAAUGGAGAAAGUAUGAAAUUACAAAAUAACCAAUGUAAUCACACCUUAAUCUUGUUAAAUUGAAACACUGUAAUCUACAUUCAAAUUUCACAUAUGGUCAAUCUUGCAAGAGCUGGGUGGAUGAGCCAAAGCACUAUUUGGAAUUUUAAACAGAGAGUCUUUCAUACCUCUCCAAAGUCCAUUUACUUUUUGAAUGAAAAAUAUUUCCCUGGGACUGGGGGAGGGAACCCCUGCCAAAAACAAGGAAAGUAAUUUUUUUUUCUUUUUUGUAAUUGAAAGAAAAAAAAAAAAAGUUUAUUUCCAGAAGCCUGACACCCAUGAUCAGUUCCAUCAUAAAGAAAGCACAGUGCAUUUCAGAAAAAUGUGGAGCUAUAUGAGGAGAAAAGUGGUUUUAGCUUCUUACAAGAGCCAUAUUACAAUCUGUUGAUAGACAUCAUUUCUAAAAAUUAUAGGUAAAGUGAAGCAUUUUCAUCUAAAGCUGGCUGAAUGUGCCUGUCAAUUGAAUGGGCGUGAUAUGUACAAAGCCCUCAUCUGGUCACAGAGCACAAAUUUAGGGGGAGUUUCAAGAGUAGAGGUGAUCACAUCUGAUUUGAAAAAUGGUAGUUCUUAUUCAGUGGUACCACUAAAUGAAAGGCAUUUGACUUUCUGGUGGCCCUUCUAAUGUGACUACAUACACCUCUCUGAUACAAUUAAAUCAUACUGGAAAUGUGCACAACAUAAAAAAAAAA
Molecule: long non-coding RNA, 4350 nt
Filed under: Canis lupus familiaris (dog)
Lineage: Eukaryota; Metazoa; Chordata; Mammalia; Carnivora; Canidae
Description: lncRNA (ENSCAFG00845004092.1)
Source: RNAcentral